CUUUUUUGUUAACAUUGAUUGCACUUUAGCUUAAACUCCCCACCUACAACAGUGGCUGCACCCGUCCCGUUAUUAUCCUAGGACAGCUUUUUUUAGAAACGUGUUUAUGAAAACUACUGGGAAGUAUCACCGGGCGAAAAAUUCAUAUCUUUUAAGGUACUGAACGGAUACAAACAGAAGCAUUUUACCAACUGAAAUCCUUUCCCGAGAAACAAAC
Non-coding RNA from Cinara cedri, 217 nucleotides. NCBI's taxonomy places the organism in Eukaryota, Metazoa, Arthropoda, Insecta, Hemiptera, Aphididae. The record is from the annotation of a GenBank genome assembly.